RNAcentral lists this transfer RNA (41 nucleotides) under Triticum aestivum (bread wheat). Its description in RNAcentral is "partial tRNA-Pro". Lineage: Eukaryota; Viridiplantae; Streptophyta; Magnoliopsida; Poales; Poaceae. The record is from RNAcentral.
UUGGGUACAAAAUGUCACAGGUUCAAAUCCUGUCAUCCCUA